CAGUAGCCGCGGGAAUACGUAGGGUGCAAGCGUUAAUCGGAAUUACUGGGCGUAAAGCGUGCGCGGGCGGUUCGGAAAGAAAGGUGUGAAAUCCCAGGGCUUAACCUUGGAACUGCACUUUUAACUACCGGGCUAGAGUGUGUCAGAGGGAGGUGGAAUUCCGCGUGUAGCAGUGAAAUGCGUAGAGAUGCGGAGGAACACCGAUGGCGAAGGCAGCCUCCUGGGACAACACUGACGCUCAUGCACGAAAGCGUGGGGAGCAAACAGGAUUAGAUACCCCCGUAGUCCCUGUCUCUUAUAC
This 301-nucleotide ribosomal RNA is filed under the name uncultured bacterium. Its description in RNAcentral is "partial 16S ribosomal RNA". It matches the Rfam family "Bacterial small subunit ribosomal RNA", at positions 509 to 807 of the family's 1533-position model. The record is from RNAcentral.